UACAGAGGGGGCAAGCGUUGUUCGGAAUUACUGGGCGUAAAGGGCGCGUAGGCGGCCUUCUAAGUCGCACGUGAAAUCCCUGGGCUCAACCCAGGAACUGCGUCCGAUACUGAAAGGCUUGAAUCCGGGAGAGGGAUGCGGAAUUCCAGGUGUAGCGGUGAAAUGCGUAGAUAUCUGGAGGAACACCGGUGGCGAAGGCGGCAUCCUGGACCGGUAUUGACGCUGAGGCGCGAAAGCCAGGGGAGCAAACGGG
Molecule: ribosomal RNA, 253 nt
Filed under: uncultured bacterium
Lineage: Bacteria
Description: partial 16S ribosomal RNA
Rfam family: Bacterial small subunit ribosomal RNA
Source: RNAcentral